AUGAACGCUGACAGAAUGCUUAACACAUGCAAGUCAACUUGAACUUCGGUUUGGGUGGCGGACGGGUGAGUAACGCGUAAAGAACUUGCCUCACAGCUAGGGACAACAUUUGGAAACGAAUGCUAAUACCUGAUAUUAUGAUUUUAGGGCAUCCUAGAAUUAUGAAAGCUAUAUGCGCUGUGAGAGAGCUUUGCGUCCCAUUAGCUAGUUGGAGAGGUAACGGCUCACCAAGGCGAUGAUGGGUAGCCGGCCUGAGAGGGUGAACGGCCACAAGGGGACUGAGACACGGCCCUUACUCCUACGGGAGGCAGCAGUGGGGAAUAUUGGACAAUGGACCAAGAGUCUGAUCCAGCAAUUCUGUGUGCACGAUGAAGUUUUUCGGAAUGUAAAGUGCUUUCAGUUGGGAAGAAAAAAAUGACGGUACCAACAGAAGAAGAGACGGCUAAAUACGUG
This 453-nucleotide ribosomal RNA is filed under the name uncultured bacterium. RNAcentral describes it as "partial 16S ribosomal RNA". It matches the Rfam family "Bacterial small subunit ribosomal RNA", at positions 29 to 507 of the family's 1533-position model. The record is from RNAcentral.